AUGGGAGCUUGCUCCCAGGCGUCGAGCGGCGGACGGGUGAGUAACGCGUAGGAAUCUACCCAGUAGUGGGGGAUAGCCCGGGGAAACUCGGAUUAAUACCGCAUACGCCCUACGGGGGAAAGGCCGGGAUCUUCGGACCGGUCGCUAUUGGAUGAGCCUGCGUUGGAUUAGCUAGUUGGUAGGGUAAAGGCCUACCAAGGCGACGAUCCAUAGCUGGUCUGAGAGGAUGAUCAGCCACACUGGAACUGAGACACGGUCCAGACUCCUACGGGAGGCAGCAGUGGGGAAUAUUGGACAAUGGGCGCAAGCCUGAUCCAGCCAUGCCGCGUGUGUGAAGAAGGCUCUAGGGUUGUAAAGCACUUUCAGUAGGGAGGAAGGCCA
RNAcentral lists this ribosomal RNA (381 nucleotides) under uncultured Gammaproteobacteria bacterium. RNAcentral's name for it is "bacterial SSU rRNA". It matches the Rfam family "Bacterial small subunit ribosomal RNA", at positions 72 to 454 of the family's 1533-position model. The record is from RNAcentral. Lineage: Bacteria; Pseudomonadati; Pseudomonadota; Gammaproteobacteria.